Molecule: transfer RNA, 88 nt
Filed under: Clostridia bacterium
Lineage: Bacteria; Bacillati; Bacillota; Clostridia
Description: tRNA-Ser
Rfam family: tRNA
About the family: Transfer RNA (tRNA) molecules are approximately 80 nucleotides in length. Their secondary structure includes four short double-helical elements and three loops (D, anti-codon, and T loops).
Source: RNAcentral
GGAAGUGUGGCAGAGUGGUUUAUUGCGUUCGCCUUGAAAGCGAAAGUGGGUUAAUAGCUCACCGUGGGUUCAAAUCCUACCACUUCCU